This 521-nucleotide ribosomal RNA is filed under the name uncultured bacterium. RNAcentral describes it as "bacterial SSU rRNA". It matches the Rfam family "Bacterial small subunit ribosomal RNA", at positions 1 to 525 of the family's 1533-position model. The record is from RNAcentral.
UAGAGUUUGAUCCUGGCUCAGAUUGAACGCUGGCGGCAUGCCUUACACAUGCAAGUCGAACGGUAACAGGUCUUCGGAUGCUGACGAGUGGCGAACGGGUGAGUAAUACAUCGGAACGUGCCUAGUAGUGGGGGAUAACUACUCGAAAGAGUGGCUAAUACCGCAUGAGAUCUACGGAUGAAAGCAGGGGAUCGCAAGACCUUGUGCUACUAGAGCGGCCGAUGGCAGAUUAGGUAGUUGGUGGGAUAAAAGCUUACCAAGCCGACGAUCUGUAGCUGGUCUGAGAGGACGAUCAGCCACACUGGGACUGAGACACGGCCCAGACUCCUACGGGAGGCAGCAGUGGGGAAUUUUGGACAAUGGGCGCAAGCCUGAUCCAGCAAUGCCGCGUGCAGGAUGAAGGCCUUCGGGUUGUAAACUGCUUUUGUACGGAACGAAAAGCCCUGGGUUAAUACCCUGGGGUCAUGACGGUACCGUAAGAAUAAGCACCGGCUAACUACGUGCCAGCAGCCGCGGUAAUA